This 761-nucleotide long non-coding RNA is filed under the name Citrus sinensis (sweet orange). Its description in RNAcentral is "long non-coding RNA (CSIN_LNC003264)". The record is from RNAcentral. Lineage: Eukaryota; Viridiplantae; Streptophyta; Magnoliopsida; Sapindales; Rutaceae.
CUUUGUACCACCAAGUCGUGAUCAGAGCCAUUCCCUUCAAAUGAAGCUGAUCGCUUCAUCGACGUUCGUGAUUGCACCUGCAUUUGUUUAUGGCUGUUGCUGGUUUGCUUAUGUGUAUUAUAAAAUAUUAAUUAGUCCUUUGUUCAAAUCUGCUGGUGCUGGACCUGGACCUGCUUCUGUGUUUUCCUUCCUUAAAACGUUUUUUUUUUUUUUUUGAAGAGAGGUCGAUGAUGAUGACGGAUGGGCCCAUGGCUAAGUAGGUGGGCGCUGUCACUUUGUACAUUUGUAUGGCUGUGGAUUUGUGCAAUGUCAUCUUGGUAAUAAUAUGGACAAAACUAGUUCUAUUACUUUUAUUAUGUGAUCUUUUUACAUUGGUCAUCUAAAUUAUUUCUUUCUAGGAUUUACCUAUACGUAUGUUAUAUAUGUGUAUAAUUGUGAUUGAUGGAUCGGUACCUGCCGUUGCUUUCAUGCAUCAGCACCAUCCUCUUGUUCGCGUAGCGUGGGCCUUGCGAAAGAAGAUAGAGCUUCUAUUACUGACUCUUUUUUUUUUUGUUUGGGGGCUUAAUUUAAUAUUAAUUAGUUAAAUAAAUAACAUAAAAGUAUCCAAGCAUAUCCCAACGGCGAUUGGAGAACUUAUGUGUCCAGAGAUUUCCAAUAUGAUCCGGGUUUAUAAAUCAUACCAUGAAAUUGAUAAAUUAAGUUACGCGCAGACUAGAAAUAUCUUGCUCUUAUCUAAUUUCUAGAGCGCUCUUCACUCAUGC